UACGUAGGGUGCGAGCGUUGUCCGGAAUUAUUGGGCGUAAAGAGCUUGUAGGCGGCUUGUCGCGUCUGCCGUGAAAAUCCGGGGCUCAACCCCGGACUUGCGGUGGGUACGGGCAGACUAGAGUGUGGUAGGGGAGACUGGAAUUCCUGGUGUAGCGGUGAAAUGCGCAGAUAUCAGGAGGAACACCGAUGGCGAAGGCGGGUUGCUAGGCUGACACUGACGCUGAUGCGCGAAAGCCAGGGGAGCAAACGGG
Molecule: ribosomal RNA, 253 nt
Filed under: uncultured bacterium
Lineage: Bacteria
Description: partial 16S ribosomal RNA
Rfam family: Bacterial small subunit ribosomal RNA
Source: RNAcentral